Molecule: long non-coding RNA, 819 nt
Filed under: Elaeis guineensis (African oil palm)
Lineage: Eukaryota; Viridiplantae; Streptophyta; Magnoliopsida; Arecales; Arecaceae
Description: long non-coding RNA (EGUI_LNC050157)
Source: RNAcentral
CUCGACUUUAAGGGAGCUGAUCUUGGAAGCCUGAGUCCACGACCGGUCGCUUGCACGUUUCCAGAGUUUCUCAAGCUCUGUGAUGAAGUCAGCUUUCCUUUUGGUGUAUUCCAUGAGACUUUUCCUAUGGAGGUCCCGAAAUCGAGUAGCCUCUGUGGUGACCUCUGAAUGGCUCUCCUUCAGCCGGCGAAGUUCAUCUUCCAGCUUUUUGGAUUUUCUUGUCAACUGACGAACUUUCUUUUGAAGGUCUCGUAUCAUCGACUUCAAGGGAAUACUCUCUGGCAGGGGAAGAGCUUUGACAGGACACUGUCGUUGGAGGACAAGAGCACCAUGACUCAAAUUAACGCCAGAAGAUAAAAAGAAGGAAAAGAAUAUAAAAAAAAAGAGAGGGGGGGAUCCUCCAUAAAGACAAAUCCGGCUUCAUUGAUCAAAUAAACUUCAAGUACAAGAGAAUGAAGGAACAAUCACCACAAAGGAAAAAUACAAAACUAGAGGUUCCGGACCUCUGGGGUAGAAGUAGAGGGGGUCGGCAUCCCCAGAAGAUCGUCAGCGGCGGCCACAGCAGUCGAUGAGGUCCUGGCUAGAAGAGGAACGGUGGCGACAUCAGAUGGUCCAGCUUCAUCAUCGGACGCCUCAUUCAGGAAGCUGAGAUGCAAUUCGGGAAACCUCCCAGCCACCUUCUCUUGGCAGAGCUCGAAUCCCUUGAUGAAGGCGUCCUGGCCGAACUGGACCUUCAGAUCUUCCAUCUCGGAGGAGCCUUUGAACUCCUCCACGGCUCGAGCCCUUGCCUCUGAGACCAGGGAUGGAAUCCACACUUUC